Molecule: microRNA, 21 nt
Filed under: Malus domestica (apple)
Lineage: Eukaryota; Viridiplantae; Streptophyta; Magnoliopsida; Rosales; Rosaceae
Description: mdm-miR319c-3p
Gene: mdm-miR319c-3p
Source: miRBase by way of RNAcentral
AUCCAACGAAGCAGGAGCUGA